This 421-nucleotide ribosomal RNA is filed under the name Fusobacteriota bacterium. Its description in RNAcentral is "Fusobacteria bacterium partial 16S ribosomal RNA". It matches the Rfam family "Bacterial small subunit ribosomal RNA", at positions 355 to 776 of the family's 1533-position model. The record is from RNAcentral. Lineage: Bacteria; Fusobacteriati; Fusobacteriota.
UGGGGAAUAUUGCACAAUGGACGGAAGUUUGAUGCAGCGACGCCGCGUGGAGGGUGUAGGCCUUCGGGUUGUGAACUCCUUUUUCUCGCGAAAAAGGCACAGUUUUGGCUGUGUUGAUGGUAGUGGGGGAAGAAGCGCCGGCUAACUACGUGCCAGCAGCCGCGGUAAUACGUAGGGCGCGAGCGUUGUCCGGAUUUAUUGGGCGUAAAGAGCUCGUAGGUGGUUCGUCGCGUCUGUCGUGAAAGCCAGCAGCUUAACUGUUGGUCUGCGGUGGGUACGGGCGGGCUUGAGUGCGGUAGGGGUGGCUGGAAUUCCUGGUGUAGCGGUGGAAUGCGCAGAUAUCAGGAGGAACACCGAUGGCGAAGGCAGGUCACUGGGCCGUUACUGACACUGAGGAGCGAAAGCGUGGGGAGCGAACAGG